Molecule: transfer RNA, 73 nt
Filed under: archaeon
Lineage: Archaea
Description: tRNA-Thr
Rfam family: tRNA
About the family: Transfer RNA (tRNA) molecules are approximately 80 nucleotides in length. Their secondary structure includes four short double-helical elements and three loops (D, anti-codon, and T loops).
Source: RNAcentral
GCCUGGUUAGCUCAGUUGAUAGAGCGUCGCAUUGGUAAUGCGGAGGUCGCGGGUUUGAUCCCCGUGCCAGGCU